GGAUGAACGCUGGCGGCGUGCCUAAUACAUGCAAGUCGAGCGAACAGACGAGGAGCUUGCUCCUCUGACGUUAGCGGCGGACGGGUGAGUAACACGUGGAUAACCUACCUAUAAGACUGGGAUAACUUCGGGAAACCGGAGCUAAUACCGGAUAAUAUAUUGAACCGCAUGGUUCAAUAGUGAAAGACGGUUUUGCUGUCACUUAUAGAUGGAUCCGCGCCGCAUUAGCUAGUUGGUAAGGUAACGGCUUACCAAGGCAACGAUGCGUAGCCGACCUGAGAGGGUGAUCGGCCACACUGGAACUGAGACACGGUCCAGACUCCUACGGGAGGCAGCAGUAGGGAAUCUUCCGCAAUGGGCGAAAGCCUGACGGAGCAACGCCGCGUGAGUGAUGAAGGUCUUCGGAUCGUAAAACUCUGUUAUUAGGGAAGAACAAAUGUGUAAGUAACUAUGCACGUCUUGACGGUACCUAAUCAGAAAGCCACGGCUAACUACGUGCCAGCAGCCGCGGUAAUACGUAGGUGGCAAGCGUUAUCCGGAAUUAUUGGGCGUAAAGCGCGCGUAGGCGGUUUUUUAAGUCUGAUGUGAAAGCCCACGGCUCAACCGUGGAGGGUCAUUGGAAACUGGAAAACUUGAGUGCAGAAGAGGAAAGUGGAAUUCCAUGUGUAGCGGUGAAAUGCGCAGAGAUAUGGAGGAACACCAGUGGCGAAGGCGACUUUCUGGUCUGUAACUGACGCUGAUGUGCGAAAGCGUGGGGAUCAAACAGGAUUAGAUACCCUGGUAGUCCACGCCGUAAACGAUGAGUGCUAAGUGUUAGGGGGUUUCCGCCCCUUAGUGCUGCAGCUAACGCAUUAAGCACUCCGCCUGGGGAGUACGACCGCAAGGUUGAAACUCAAAGGAAUUGACGGGGACCCGCACAAGCGGUGGAGCAUGUGGUUUAAUUCGAAGCAACGCGAAGAACCUUACCAAAUCUUGACAUCCUCUGACCCCUCUAGAGAUAGAGUUUUCCCCUUCGGGGGACAGAGUGACAGGUGGUGCAUGGUUGUCGUCAGCUCGUGUCGUGAGAUGUUGGGUUAAGUCCCGCAACGAGCGCAACCCUUAAGCUUAGUUGCCAUCAUUAAGUUGGGCACUCUAAGUUGACUGCCGGUGACAAACCGGAGGAAGGUGGGGAUGACGUCAAAUCAUCAUGCCCCUUAUGAUUUGGGCUACACACGUGCUACAAUGGACAAUACAAAGGGCAGCGAAACCGCGAGGUCAAGCAAAUCCCAUAAAGUUGUUCUCAGUUCGGAUUGUAGUCUGCAACUCGAC
RNAcentral lists this ribosomal RNA (1308 nucleotides) under Staphylococcus epidermidis. RNAcentral's name for it is "bacterial SSU rRNA". It matches the Rfam family "Bacterial small subunit ribosomal RNA", at positions 27 to 1316 of the family's 1533-position model. The record is from RNAcentral. Lineage: Bacteria; Bacillati; Bacillota; Bacilli; Caryophanales; Staphylococcaceae.